UCUUUAGGAUCCGUGGUAUUCCCAAUUUUGGAUGUGCUACGUAGUAUCUUUGAUACACAAAACUUUUUUUCUGCCUUACUUUUAAUAGAACUAAAGUCAUAAUUUGGUUACUGCACGUCAUAUGAUUCUUCUUGAUCUUUGGUGGAAUCCAACUAUUGAAGAGCAAGCCAUUGACCGAGUGCAUCAAAUUGGACAAACCCAUCCAGUGAAGGUGCCACGAAUAACUAUAAAAGAUAUAGUUGAAGAUCGUAUAUUGGCUCUUCAGGUAUAAAAGAGGCAGAUCUAUGGCAUCACUAAUGUGCUUGAAGGGAUAGGAUUGAUAGAAAGGAAUCUCAAAAACAAGAUUCAUUGGACGGGCUUAGAUGAUGCAAUGACAGGAGAGGUUAAAAAUGAUAUGCCAACACUGUAGACAGAAGUUGAAAACCUAGCCUCGUAAGAAUGGCAGUUGGAUGAGUGCAUCAGGAAAAAUGCAAGAAAGCAUGAGUGUGCUCACUGAAGAAGAAAGUAAUCAAAAGCUGCUUUACUUGAUCGAAGAUGACAUCAAAAGACUACCCUACUUUCAGGUUUUUUACAUGUUUCCCUUGUUUAUUUUAAAAAUAAAUAUUAAAUUUUGGAUGUUAGUAAAGAUUACAGGAGCAACAACUAUAUGCUAUGUGGCACUGCAUUUGAACCUCAGGGGUGUGACUGAGAAGUACUUCGACGAAGAACUAUCAAGAAAGCUUUAAGCGAGAAGAUGGUUAAAGUCAAUGAGUAAAGAACAUUCAAGUCAAGAGGAUAAGUAACAUCUAUCAAGAUCUUUUAAGUUCAUGCAAUAAGUUGUAAUCAAUAGGAGUAGUUUUAAGUAUCUCCUAAUUAAAAUUUCUUUGUAUACGAGUAAUUAUGUUUAUUAUAGAAGUGUAAGAAUGAUAAUUUGUAUAUCUAUCUUGGUUGUUUAUUUAAUAAUAU
Molecule: long non-coding RNA, 945 nt
Organism: Zingiber officinale
Lineage: Eukaryota; Viridiplantae; Streptophyta; Magnoliopsida; Zingiberales; Zingiberaceae
Exons: 6
Source: RefSeq, a predicted model, not a curated record